RNAcentral lists this unclassified non-coding RNA (309 nucleotides) under Zea mays. Its description in RNAcentral is "misc RNA Zm00001eb423660". The record is from RNAcentral. Lineage: Eukaryota; Viridiplantae; Streptophyta; Magnoliopsida; Poales; Poaceae.
ACCUCAGUACCUCACGACGGCAGAUGGGUUGGCUGACGGCGCGACCACAGAGCUGGCGGCGGUGGACGCGGCCACGGAAGCGCGGCUGUCGGCUGGAGUGGCGGUGCGCAAGGAAGCGCGGCUGCGCGGGUCUCCAAGCGGUGACGGGCUGGCGGCGCGCAGGUGCGGGCUGACGGCUGGCGGCGCGCAGGGAAGCGCGGGGCUGGCGGCGCGCAGGAAGGUGCGCGGGGAUGGCGGCGCGCCGUGGGGAGAAGUGGGGCUGGCGGCGCGCAGAGAAGUUGCGCGUGUGCGCCGUGGGGAGAAGCGGUG